Long non-coding RNA from Daucus carota subsp. sativus, 1067 nucleotides. RefSeq lists it as uncharacterized. NCBI's taxonomy places the organism in Eukaryota, Viridiplantae, Streptophyta, Magnoliopsida, Apiales, Apiaceae. The record is from RefSeq and is a predicted model, not a curated record. The transcript has 3 exons.
UUUCAACAAAACUGACCUUUAGCCUAAUUUGAAUAUUCCGGACAUUUUUCGUGUUUUGACUUUUUCGAUCCGGAGUACGGUUUUCCCCGGAGUCGGUCCGGCGGAGUUUUUCGGGUAUUGUAAUUGUUGAUAAUUAUCCAGUUUGUCUCGAUAAACGUGAAACGAGAUAUUUUCUUCAUCCUUAUCUUGUCAUAAUUGCCAUGGGACCCGCAGACCAAUAAUUGAGUUAAAAAGCCCCGUUUUGAUGAUUAUCUCGAAAACCAGUAUCGAUUGGACCCCGCUUUAUUAAUAUAAAGCUACUAAAUAUGUAUUUUCAUGUCAUAAACGAUCCAAAGGGGUACCAAUUAUUUGUAAAUAUAAAUAUAUCUUUCUAGAGCUUAUUUUCACCGUAGAAAUCAUUUCACCAGUUUCUCUGCACGAAUACCGAGAGAAACCGAGCGGUGUUCUUCGUGUUCUUCAUAAUCAAACGUGGAUUUGAAGGCGUUAUUGGAGUCAGAAUCAAGCGUGCGAAUAGUCAAAUCGAAGAUAUCGAAGAGUAGAACCCAGAUCAAUCAUCAAAAACAACAUGAGAUUCACAGGAUUUGGACGAGACGUGUAUGCUCGAAGACGUCAGAAAGUCGGAAUGGUAUUGCAAAGCGAAUAAGGGAUGAAUCGAGUAAGAGAAGUGGUGUGGCGAAUAGGGUAUAGCCAGAGAUGGUUUAGAGACUAUGAUAUGCAUAGAGUAUGAAGGUGGAAAGAUGAGAAUGAGCUGUGAGACGGGAGUCAGAUUUAAGAAAGGCUUAAAGAUGAGAUGAUUGAUUGAGAUUGUGAGUAAGGCCAAUGCUAGGCGAGGAGACAGAGUUGAGGAUCCAGUGGUCGAAGAGUGUUCAGGAAAGUUGAUGAGGCUGGUGCAAGCUGGAAUAGUUGACAGUGAUUCUUCUUAUCGAAGAUGAUCUGAUUUGGUAAGAGAUGUUGUGUAAUAAUAGUGGUAGAUUCUAAUUUCAAUACUGUAACCUGGAUGCGAUCCUGUUGUUUUGGGGGGUUUAAAUGUUCUCUUUUAAAUCUUUUAUUUAACGUCUUUCAAAUCU